UACGAAGGGGGCUAGCGUUGCUCGGAAUCACUGGGCGUAAAGCGCACGUAGGCGGACUCUUAAGUCGGGGGUGAAAUCCUGGAGCUCAACUCCAGAACUGCCUUCGAUACUGAGAGUCUUUGAGUUCGGGAGAGGUGAGUGGAACUGCGAGUGUAGAGGUGAAAAUGCGCAGAUAUCAGGAGGAAACACCGGUGGCGAAGGCGGGGUCUCUGGGGCCGAUACUGACGCUGAGGAGCGAAAGCGUGGGGAGCAAACAGG
This 258-nucleotide ribosomal RNA is filed under the name uncultured bacterium. RNAcentral describes it as "partial 16S ribosomal RNA". It matches the Rfam family "Bacterial small subunit ribosomal RNA", at positions 524 to 776 of the family's 1533-position model. The record is from RNAcentral.